RNAcentral lists this ribosomal RNA (248 nucleotides) under uncultured bacterium. Its description in RNAcentral is "partial 16S ribosomal RNA". It matches the Rfam family "Bacterial small subunit ribosomal RNA", at positions 57 to 305 of the family's 1533-position model. The record is from RNAcentral.
GCAAGUCGUGCGGUAAGGCCCUUUCGGGGGUACACGAGCGGCGAACGGGUGAGUAACACGUGAGCAACCUGCCCUUCACUUUGGGAUAACCGCCGGAAACGGUGGCUAAUACCGGAUAUGACUGUCCCAUGCAUGUGGGGUGGUGGAAAGCCGUAAGGCGGUGGGGGAUGGGCUCGCGGUCUAUCAGCUUGUUGGUGGGGUGAUGGCCUACCAAGGCUUCGACGGGUAGACGGACUGAGAGGGUGACC